Molecule: ribosomal RNA, 334 nt
Filed under: uncultured bacterium
Lineage: Bacteria
Description: bacterial SSU rRNA
Rfam family: Bacterial small subunit ribosomal RNA
Source: RNAcentral
CGUUUGACGUUAGCGACAGAAGAAGCACCGGCUAACUCCGUGCCAGCAGCCGCGGUAAUACGGAGGGUGCGAGCAUUAAUCGGAAUUACUGGGCGUAAAGCGCAUGCAGGUGGUUUGUUUAAGUCAGAUGUGAAAGACCCGGGGCGUCAACCUCGGAAUAGCAUUUGAAACUAGGCAGACUAGAGUACUGUAGAGGGGGGUAGGAAUUUCAGGUGUAGCGGUGAAAUGCGUAGAGAUCUGAAGGAAUACCGGUGGCGAAGGCGGCCCCCUCGGACAGAUACUGACACUCAGAUGCGAAAGCGUGGGGAGCAAACAGGAUUAGAUACCCUGGUAG